Molecule: ribosomal RNA, 420 nt
Filed under: uncultured bacterium
Lineage: Bacteria
Description: bacterial SSU rRNA
Rfam family: Bacterial small subunit ribosomal RNA
Source: RNAcentral
GAAUAUUGGUCAAUGGGCGAAAGCCUGAACCAGCAAUGCCGCGUGAGUGAUGAAGGCCCUCGGGUUGUAAAGCUCUGGCAGAGGGAAAGAAAAAGCCGGUUAACAGCCGGACUUGACGGUACCCUCAAAGGAAGCACCGGCUAACUCUGUUCCAGCAGCCGCGGUAAUACAGAGGGUGCAAGCGUUGUUCGGAAUUACUGGGCGUAAAGCGCGUGUAGGCGGCUUAUUAAGUCGGACGUGAAAUCCCUUGGCUCAACCAAGGAACUGCGUCCGAUACUGUUAGGCUUGAGUAUCGGAGGGGGUGGCGGAAUUCCUGGUGUAGAGGUGAAAUUCGUAGAUAUCAGGAGGAACACCUGUGGCGAAGGCGGCCACCUGGAAGAUAACUGACGCUGAGACGCGAAAGCGUGGGGAGCAAACAGG